This 477-nucleotide ribosomal RNA is filed under the name uncultured bacterium. RNAcentral describes it as "bacterial SSU rRNA". It matches the Rfam family "Bacterial small subunit ribosomal RNA", at positions 30 to 507 of the family's 1533-position model. The record is from RNAcentral.
AUUGAACGCUGGCGGCAUGCUUUACACAUGCAGGUCGAACGGUAACAGGUUAAGCUGACGAGUGGCGAACGGGUGAGUAAUGCAUCGGAACGUGCCCAGUCGUGGGGGAUAACGCAGCGAAAGCUGUGCUAAUACCGCAUACGAUCUAUGGAUGAAAGCGGGGGACCGUAAGGCCUCGCGCGAUUGGAGCGGCCGAUGUCAGAUUAGCUAGUUGGUGGGGUAAAGGCCCACCAAGGCGACGAUCUGUAGCUGGUCUGAGAGGACGACCAGCCACACUGGAACUGAGACACGGUCCAGACUCCUACGGGAGGCAGCAGUGGGGAAUUUUGGACAAUGGGCGCAAGCCUGAUCCAGCAAUGCCGCGUGCAGGAAGAAGGCCUUCGGGUUGUAAACUGCUUUUGUACGGAACGAAACGGUCUGGGCUAAUACCCCGGGCUAAUGACGGUACCGUAAGAAUAAGCACCGGCUAACUACGUG